This is a long non-coding RNA of Cygnus olor (mute swan), 452 nucleotides long. RefSeq lists it as uncharacterized. The transcript has 4 exons. The record is from RefSeq and is a predicted model, not a curated record. NCBI's taxonomy places the organism in Eukaryota, Metazoa, Chordata, Aves, Anseriformes, Anatidae.
UUCCUACAGCAGUUACUCCCAGAAAGACAAUAAGGCUGCUACCAGUGCAAGUGUGUUCAUGGUCUGUAGGAAUUUGGCUAGAUGCACCAGUAAUCUUGGAGAGCUCCAUUCAGCUCAUCACUGACCGCAUGUCACACAAUUGUCCAAAACAGAUGCGUUGUGUCAAACUGGUGAAAUGAACCCAUCUGUAAGAGAGGAAAGGGGACUUCAGAGAAGUUUGGGCUACAGGUGACUUAAGAAAAAUCCAGGUUGCAAGAGCUAAAAAAAGAAGCAUUUUUGUGCAAGGAACAUUGUGAAACUUCUCAUCAUAGCUGCUUUUGUAUCUGUGCUGGAUGAGGAAAAAAAACACAACAACAACUGUAUAUUUUGAAGACUCGUGCCUUGAGAUACAACUCAAAAGCUUAUCUGAAAGACAAAGCACCCCUUAUGCCUGGGAGAACGGAGAGGGAGGG